AUGUCAAAGCAACAUUUUCGAGGUUUUGUGCACACGCCCAAGCAAGAGGCUUCAACAUACACUUCCAGGGAUCAGGGCAUAGUGGCACACCCCCAAGUUGUCCAGAUAGAGAGGUGGCGCACGGAAGGUUCAAGUGCUGAUGGGUUGGGUGGAUGGAUCCUGCAGAAGAUGGAGGAGGGAGGGGUUGAUGGGGAAGAAAGGGUGGAGGAGGAGCGGGGAAGGGAGAAAAGUCUCCAGAGGUUUUGUGUUGUGUGUUCACACACACUGGGUUGCGUCGGUUACGAUUGGGAGAAAAGGGAAUCUGGCCAUGUGCACGAUCAGAUCGUUUCUUUCCUUUUUUGA
Molecule: ribosomal RNA, 342 nt
Filed under: Triticum aestivum (bread wheat)
Lineage: Eukaryota; Viridiplantae; Streptophyta; Magnoliopsida; Poales; Poaceae
Description: partial small subunit ribosomal RNA
Source: RNAcentral